RNAcentral lists this ribosomal RNA (252 nucleotides) under uncultured bacterium. Its description in RNAcentral is "partial 16S ribosomal RNA". It matches the Rfam family "Bacterial small subunit ribosomal RNA", at positions 524 to 776 of the family's 1533-position model. The record is from RNAcentral.
UACGUAGGGUGCAAGCGUUGUCCGGAAUUAUUGGGCGUAAAGAGCUCGUAGGCGGUCUGUCGCGUCUGCUGUGAAAACUCGGGGCUUAACCCCGGGCCUGCAGUGGGUACGGGCAGACUAGAGUGCGGUAGGGGAGACUGGAAUUCCUGGUGUAGCGGUGAAAUGCGCAGAUAUCGUCAAGAACACCAAUAGCGAAGGCAGCUUACUAAGCUCUAACUGACACUGAUGCACGAAAGUGUGGGAUCAAACAGG